UGCAGUUAAAGCUCGUAGUUGGAUUUUGGUUAAGAGGGCGCGGUCGGCCGUUUGGUCUGUACUGCGUUGUCUUGACUUCCUGAUGAGGACAUGCUCUUGGUUAACGCUGAGACAUGGAGUCAUCGUGGUUACUUUGAAAAAAUUAGAGUGUUCAAAGCGGGCUUACGCUUGAAUAUAUUAGCAUGGAAUAACACUAUAGGACUCCUGUCCUAUCUCGUUGGUCUCGGGAUGGGAGUAAUGAUUAAGAGGAACAGUUGGGGGCAUUCGUAUUUCAUUGUCAGAGGUGAAAUUCUUGGAUUUAUGAAAGACGAACUUCUGCGAAAGCAUUUGCCAAGGAUGUUUUCAUUAAUCAAGAACGAAAGUUGGGGGCUCAAAGAUGAUUAGAUACCAUCCUAGUCUCAACCAUAAACGAUGCCGACUAGGGAUUGGUGGAUGUUAAUUGAUGACUUCACCAGCACCUUAUGAGAAAUCAAAGUUUUUGGGUUCCGGGGGGAGUAUGGUCGCAAGGCUGAAACUUAAAGGAAUUGACGGAAGGGCACCACCAGGCGUGGAGCCUGCGGCUUAAUUUGACUCAACACGGGGAAACUUACCAGGUCCAGACAUAAGUAUGAUUGA
RNAcentral lists this ribosomal RNA (615 nucleotides) under uncultured prasinophyte. RNAcentral's name for it is "SSU rRNA". It matches the Rfam family "Eukaryotic small subunit ribosomal RNA", at positions 614 to 1243 of the family's 1831-position model. Lineage: Eukaryota; Viridiplantae; Chlorophyta. The record is from RNAcentral.